RNAcentral lists this ribosomal RNA (253 nucleotides) under uncultured bacterium. Its description in RNAcentral is "partial 16S ribosomal RNA". It matches the Rfam family "Bacterial small subunit ribosomal RNA", at positions 524 to 776 of the family's 1533-position model. The record is from RNAcentral.
UACGUAGGUGGCAAGCGUUGUCCGGAUUUACUGGGCGUAAAGGGCGCGUAGGCGGGUCGGUAAGUCAGGGGUGAAAUCCCACGGCCCAACCGUGGAAGUGCCUCUGAUACUGCCGGCCUCGAGGGGGAUAGGGGCGUGCGGAACUCAGGGUGGAGCGGUGAAAUGCGUAGAUAUCAUGAGGAACACCGGUGGCGAAAGCGGCGCGCUGGAUCCCUUCUGACGCUGAGGCGCGAAGGCCAGGGGAGCAAACGGG